UACAGAGGUCCCAAGCGUUGUUCGGAUUCAUUGGGCGUAAAGGGUGCGUAGGCGGCGCGGUAAGUCGGGUGUGAAAUCUCGGGGCUUAACUCCGAAACUGCAUUCGAUACUGCCGUGCUUGAGGACUGGAGAGGAGACUGGAAUUUACGGUGUAGCGGUGAGAUGCGUAGAUAUCGUAAGGAAGACCAGUGGCGAAGGCGGGUCUCUGGACAGUUCCUGACGCUGAGGCACGAAGGCCAGGGGAGCAAACGGG
RNAcentral lists this ribosomal RNA (253 nucleotides) under uncultured bacterium. Its description in RNAcentral is "partial 16S ribosomal RNA". It matches the Rfam family "Bacterial small subunit ribosomal RNA", at positions 524 to 776 of the family's 1533-position model. The record is from RNAcentral.